Molecule: long non-coding RNA, 421 nt
Filed under: Setaria viridis
Lineage: Eukaryota; Viridiplantae; Streptophyta; Magnoliopsida; Poales; Poaceae
Description: long non-coding RNA (SVIR_LNC007186)
Source: RNAcentral
GACGGAGAACAAGGUGACCUUGUCACCACCGGCGCCCUCCAUCUCCACCUUGUACGCCCGGGCCGGGCCGGUGCUGUGGCACAUGUACACGGUGUAUGGGUACUCCUUCUGGUGGCACCCCACGAAGCUGGAGCCCCGGACGGGUCGCACAGCACGGAUGGUGUACGGCUGCAGCGGCGACCCGGCGCGGGGCACCCUGGAGAUCAUCUCGGUGAUGCUCCUGGUGCCGAGCACCCCCUGGGCACCCUCGACCAGGGCCUCCAGUGAGGUGGCGCAGAACUUGGCCUCCCACUCGAGGCCCGGGUCCUCGCACAUGCCCAGGGUCUCCUCCAUCUUGGCCGCCUGGGCAGAGCCCUCGGUGACGUUGAACUGGGCGAGGAUGCCCGGGAGGGCGGAGGAGGAGAAGGGGAUGGCGUCGGCG